Molecule: long non-coding RNA, 969 nt
Filed under: Homo sapiens (human)
Lineage: Eukaryota; Metazoa; Chordata; Mammalia; Primates; Hominidae
Description: HSALNT0397540
Source: RNAcentral
UGUUUACCUAAUCAAGCCUGGGCAAUGGCGGGCGCCCCUCCCCCAGCCUCGCUGCCGCCUUGCAGUUUGAUCUCAGACUGCUGUGCUAGCAAUCAGCGAGACUCCGUGGGCGUAGGACCCUCCGAGCCAGGUGCGGGAUAUAUUCUCGUGGUGCGCCGUUUUUUAAGCCCGUCGGAAAGGCGCAGUAUUUGGGUAGGAGUGACCCGAUUUUCCAGUGAGAUGAACCCGGUACCUCAGCUGGAAAUGCAGAAAUCACCCGUCUUCUGCGUCGCUCACGCUGGGAGCUGUAGACUGGAGCUGUAGACAGGAGCUGUUCCUAUUCGGGCAUCUUGGCUCCUCCUUGACAAGCUUGAAGGUGAGCACCUCGAAGGGCUUCUUUUUAUGUUGAAAGGCACGGGUUUGCAUGGCGGUUCAUCAGAGGUCAAUACCCCAGUUUGAGAAAGUCCACUGUGGGGAGGAAAGAGAGACUUAAACAAGCCCUGGAAAAACAAAGAAUGGAACACCCCUCCGCUGACUUCAACCAACUGCCUGCUGAUGCGGCCUGACUCCCAGCCCUUUUUGCAGUUUUGAAGUGACAAACUGACUAGGCUACAAAGUAUUCAACCAUGGGCUGGUUCUGGCUGGUUCACCGAGGCUGUGUACAAAGUGUCUUCAUGUCCUGUGUUUCACCUUUUAACAUACAGAACCUAAUUUUACUGCAUUUUAAUGUUAAUUCUCCACUCGAAGGUGAACAUGGGAUGUAUGUAACACAUAUGUUUGCUUAUCAAGCACACAUAUGACCCCCUUUCAUGAAUAUUCAUAGUUCCCCCUGUGACCUGUUGAAUAUGUCUGUUUAGCCAACCUGUUUGGCAUAAAACUCCUAUCCCACCCUAUCUCCCUCAAAGUACCUGUUUGUGGUCUCAGCUGGAGGUGCCACUUCCCAGCCUGCAGUUUGCAACCCUUCUCAAGAAAUAAAGUCUUCCUUUCCAA